Molecule: ribosomal RNA, 1019 nt
Filed under: uncultured Parcubacteria group bacterium
Lineage: Bacteria
Description: bacterial SSU rRNA
Rfam family: Bacterial small subunit ribosomal RNA
Source: RNAcentral
GAUGAACGCUGGCGGGCGUGGAUAAGGCAUGCAAGUCGAAAGGGUUUAGACCCUUGGCAAACGGGUUCGGAAUACAUAGGAAUCUUCCCUGAAGUCGCCGGAUAAUCCGGAGAAAUCCGGAAUAAUACGCGAUAUGUUCUACGGAAUAAAGAUUUAUCGCUUCAGGAGGAGCCUGUGUCCUAUCAGCUUGUUGGUGAGGUAAUAGCUCACCAAGGCUAUGACGGGUAGGGGGUGUGAGAGCACGGCCCCCAACAUUGGAACUGAGACACUGUCCAAACACCUACGGGUGGCUGCAGUCGAGAAUAUUCCACAAUGGGCGAAAGCCUGAUGGAGCGACGCCGCGUGCAGGAUGACGGUCUUCGGAUUGUAAACUGCUUUUCUCAGGGAAGAACGCAAGUGACUGUACCUGAGGAAUAAGAGGUUACUAACUCUGUGCCAGCAGUAGCGGUAUACAGAGACCUCAAGCGUUAUCCGGAUUUAUUGGGCGUAAAGCGCAGGUAGGCGGUAUGUUAGUCGCAUGUCAAAGCCCGGGGCUUAACCCCGAGAGGCAUGCCGAAACGGCAUGUCUAGAGAAUGUAGAGAUCAGUGGAAUUUAUGGUGUAGUAGUGAAAUGCGUUGAUAUCAUAAAGAACACCCAAGGCGAAGGCAACUGAUUGGCACACUUCUGACGCUGAGCUGCGAAAGCGUGGGUAGCGAAUAGGAUUAGAUACCCUAGUAGUCCACGCCCUAAACGAUGCAUAUUAGGUGCAGGGAGAAUCGACCCUUUCUGUGCCGUAGCUAACGCGUUAAAUAUGCCGCCUGGGAAGUACGAGCGCAAGCUUAAAACUCAAAGGAAUAGACGGGGAUCCGCACAAGUGGUGGAGCAUGUGGUUUAAUUCGACGGUAAGCGAGGCACCUCACCAGGGUUUGAAAUCUAGCUGGAGAUCUCAGAAAUGAGAAGUCCUUCGAGGCCGCUAGACCAGGUGCUGCAUGGUUGUCGUCAGCUCGUGUCGUAAGAUGUUCCGUUCAGUCGGGCAACG